UUAUCCAUUCCCAAUUGAUUUUCCACUGUAUCAAGGUAUAUUUAAGUUGUUUCCAAUAUUUUCCCUAUUAAAAUGCUGCAAAAACCCAUUCCUGUCCACAUCUCCUCGUGCAGCAUGCCUGGAACUUCUCCGGGGUGCGUCCCCAGCGCGGAGCUGGUGGUGGUCUGACUUCACGAGGUGUUGCCGGGCCGCUGCUCCGUGUGGCCGUGCCGGUGGAUGCUCCUGUCCUCUGACACUCAGGGGCGGGGGUCUCCCUGCCCCAUGCUCCAGCCCUCACGGGGUGUUUCCAGACUUCAGAUGUUUGCUCAUGUGGAAUUACGUUUUGCUUCAUUUUUCAUUUUCCUGAUUACUAGUGAUGUGAUAUAUAUAUUUUCCCGACAAUUUAGAUUCCCUCUUCUGGGCGUUGUCUGUUGAUAUCUUUGCCUAUUUUUAUUUUCCCUCUUGACUUUUUCUUAUUUGCUCGUGGGAGAUAUUUAUAUAUAAUGCAUACUAAGCCUUUCUUGGCAAUCUGUAUCGUAAGUAUCUUCACUCAGUGUGAUUUUCCAAUAGAGGACAAACCAAGCAGUUUGUGGAAAAAAGAUUUUUUGCCUCAUCAGGAGACUUGGGCGUUUGUUCUGGUUUGGCUACCAACUUGCUAUUUGGCCUUGGGCGGGUCAUGUAAUUUUCCUGGACCUUGGCUUCCUUACCUCUAAAGUGGUAUAAUUUGAUCCCAGAACCUCAGAUCUCUUCUAGAUACACAGUCAUAUCAGAGUUAAACAAAAUUAAAUGGAGGGAAAGCUCUUUCCAAAUUAAGGGGAAAGUCUGCAUGCUGGAAUAUUUGAAAACAGAUUAAAUUUUUGCUGGUUUAAGAACAUAGAUAACUGGGAUUAUGUGGAUAAAGUUGGCUAACAGGGACUUCCCUGGUGGUGCAGUGGUUAAGAAUCCACCUGCCAAUGCAGGGGACAUGGGUUCGAGCCCUGGCCCGGGAAGAUCCCACAUGCUGAGGAGCAACUAAGCCCGUGUGCCGCAACUACUGAGCGUGUGCUCUAGAGCCUGUGAUCCACAACUACAGAGCCCGCGUGCCACAACUACUGAGCCUACGCUCUAGAUCCUUCGUGCCACAGCUACUGAAGCCUGCGUGCCUAGAGCCUUUGCUCCAUAACAAGAGAAGCCACCGCAAUGAGAAGCCUGCGCACCGCAAUGAAGAGCAGCUACCGCUCGCCGCAACUAGAGAAAGCCCGUGCGCAUCAACGAAGACCCAAUGCAGCCAAAAAAAAAAAAAAAAAAAAGUUGGCUAACAUUUGGAUAACACUUCAGUUUUCAAGAGUACUUCCGCAUACUUGAUUUAUUUCUCAUAAACUUGACUUGCAGGAUCUUGUUUUUGUCGUCAAAUAUGCCAUCACGCUUCAGGUGCCGGGCCAGGCAGCGUGUCUGUCCGCUCUGCCACGGGACUCCCAGUGCCUUGAAUCGGGCUGCGCGUGGAAGACUCGGGCGAAGACACAUGUAGCUGAUAAUCAGUAUUAUUAUUAUUGAUCACCUUGAGCUCACUAUUGGACCGUGACCUCUCCAUCCCGGGGGCUCUGCGGAAGAGGAGGAAAGAUGCCUCGCAGAUCGGCUUCUCUGGGUAGAGCAGCAGACACGGCCACUGGACCCCUCUGUGACUGUAGUUUCAGAGCUGGACACAUGGCUUCCCAGGUUUCAGCACCAGAAUUUGAACCCAUGAAAGGUUUCCUGAUGCCGACCAAGACUUGCACCAAACUUGGCUGUCUGAACCUUCCGGGAGCUUGUUAAAAUAGAGAAAUGCCUUUCUCCUUCGCAUCUUUCUCCGCUAGACUGGCUUGGAUCUCAUCUUCACUCGUUUCAACUCCCCACGGCUCUGUCGGGUUCUGACCACGUGAGACACGGACACCACACGAGAUCAUCAUCAAACGAGGGACAGCCACGGCUUUACAAGAAAGCUGCCAGUGCGGAUUUGCUUGUGUUUUAGGCCCAGAGUCAUCUGAUUUUCACGAGACGGUAACGCCGCGAAGCUGUUCCAGGUUCAGAACCCUAACAUUUUGGAAAACAAACUGUAUUCAAUGGCUGGAAAAGUCUGGGUCUUCCCAGAUGAAAGGAAUGGAGAACCUUCAUUGUUCAAGUCAAUAACUCCUUAGCUUGGUCUCGGGAAAGGAUGUGCAUUUCUCUCCAAACUCUGGAAAGCCCUUGAGGAACUUCUGAAAAGCAACAGAUGUGCAUGAAUCCCUUCAAUUCUGGAGGACGGGCACGCCGGGUUUACAGCUCAAGGUUCAGAUCUUGGUGAAGAUCCACCAGGUGAAAUUUCGUUUUCCUGGACUGAAUGGUGAACCUCCUGAAAGUCUAAACAAGGGCCUCUCGAGCUGUCACAUGUGGUCGCUCCUGAACCCGUGCCCAUGGUGCUAAGUCAUAAGGACACAGCUGGCAGAUCCAAGGACCCCGUGACAUCCGUACUUGCAGCUGACAAUUUUCAGGAACUUGAGUUUUAAGGCUAAUAACAAAUAGGUUGAAACCCGGCUUCGCAAAGAUACAACACGUUGAAAGAAAUGUGGUGUGAUUUCACGAUGAAACUGUGAACUCCCCCUCGGACUUGCGGUUUGUGCAGCAUCCAAACAGAAAUCAGCAAAAGAUUCUGAUACACGUUGGAUGUGACUGAAAAGAAGCUGCCAAAAUUGUGCUCCAAGAAGAACAAGGCUUUGUACUUCAUCAGAGAAUCUGGUGGCUUUCAUGAGCCAGAGAACAACAGGGCUUAUGAAGUAGUUUCACGAAGGUAAGUCAUGCCCAGACUCAGGAUCAGGAGCUGGGGAAGAGCAGGUGUUCGGGACAU
Balaenoptera ricei (Rice's whale) is the source of this 2818-nucleotide long non-coding RNA. RefSeq lists it as uncharacterized. The record is from RefSeq and is a predicted model, not a curated record. The transcript is spliced from 10 exons. NCBI's taxonomy places the organism in Eukaryota, Metazoa, Chordata, Mammalia, Artiodactyla, Balaenopteridae.